AGUAUACAGUGAAACUGCGAAUGGCUCAUUAAAACAGUUAUAGUUUAUUUGAUAAUCGAAAGCUACAUGGAUAACCGUGGUAAUUCUAGAGCUAAUACAUGCAGUCAAACCCGACCUUCGGAAGGGUUGUAUUUAUUAGAUAUCAAGCCAAUACUCCUUCGGGUUUAUUGUGGUGAAUCAUAGUAACUGAUCGAAGCCCUCAGGGCUAAAUCAUUCAAGUUUCUGCCCUAUCAGCUUUCGAUGGUAGUGUAUUGGACUACCAUGGCAGUAACGGGUAACGAAGAA
This 285-nucleotide ribosomal RNA is filed under the name Pseudocohnilembus sp. RNAcentral's name for it is "partial small subunit ribosomal RNA". It matches the Rfam family "Eukaryotic small subunit ribosomal RNA", at positions 73 to 369 of the family's 1831-position model. Lineage: Eukaryota; Ciliophora; Oligohymenophorea; Philasterida; Pseudocohnilembidae. The record is from RNAcentral.